RNAcentral lists this transfer RNA (69 nucleotides) under Sphaerotheriidae sp. HYS-2012. Its description in RNAcentral is "tRNA-Ile". The record is from RNAcentral. Lineage: Eukaryota; Metazoa; Arthropoda; Diplopoda; Sphaerotheriida; Sphaerotheriidae.
AGUGGUAUGCCUGACGUAAAAAGGGUCAUCAUGAUAUGAUGGAUAAUGUAUUUUUCCCUACUAUCACUA